RNAcentral lists this ribosomal RNA (497 nucleotides) under uncultured bacterium. Its description in RNAcentral is "partial 16S ribosomal RNA". It matches the Rfam family "Bacterial small subunit ribosomal RNA", at positions 28 to 507 of the family's 1533-position model. The record is from RNAcentral.
GAUGAACGCUGGCGGCGUGCCUAAUACAUGCGAGUCGAGCGAACGGACGAGAAGCUUGCUUUUCUGAUGUUAGCGGCGGACGGGUGAGUAACACGUGGAUAACCUACCUAUAAGACUGGGAUAACUUCGGGAAACCGGAGCUAAUACCGGAUAAUAUUUUGAACCGCAUGGUUCAAAAGUGAAAGACGGUCUUGCUGUCACUUAUAGAUGGAUCCGCGCUGCAUUAGCUAGUUGGUAAGGUAACGGCUUACCAAGGCAACGAUGCAUAGCCGACCUGAGAGGGUGAUCGGCCACACUGGAAGUGAGCCACGGUCAAUACUCCUACGGGAGGCAGCAGUAGGGAAUCUUCCGCAAUGGGCGAAAGCCUGACGGAGCAACGCCGCGUCAGUGAUGACGGUCUUCGGAUCGUAAAACUCUGUUAUUAGGGAAGAACAUAUGUGUAAGUAACUGUGCACAUCUUGACGGUACCUAAUCAGAAAGCCACGGCUAACUACGUG